CAUGCAAGUCGAACGAUGAAGAAAAGAAUUGAAGCUUCGGCAGAAAUUCAUUUCGGAUUAGUGGCAGACGGGUGAGUAACGCGUGAGCAACCUACCUCUUACAAAGGGAUAGCCUCGGGAAACCGGGAUUAAUACCAUAUAACAUUGCGACGAAGCAUUUCGAUGCAAUCAAAGCUACGGCGGUAAGAGAUGGGCUCGCGUCCCAUUAACCAGAUGGUGAGGUAACGGCUCACCAUAGUAACGAUGGGUAACCGGCCUGAGAGGGUGAACGGUCACACUGGAACUGAGACACGGUCCAGACUCCUACGGGAGGCAGCAGUGGGGAAUAUUGCACAAUGGAGGGAACUCUGAUGCAGCGACGCCGCGUGAGUGAUGAAGGAAUUCGUUUCGUAAAACUCUGUUCUAUGGGAAGAAAAGGACUGUACCAUAGGAGAAAGCUCCGGCUAAAUACGUGCCAGCAGCCGCGGUAAUACGUAUGGAGCGAGCGUUGUCCGGAAUUAUUGGGCGUAAAGGGUGCGCAGGCGGCUUUACAGGUUGGAUGUGAAAUAUUGUGGCUCAACCACAAACGUGCAUCCAAAACUGCAAAGCUUGAGUUAAGGAGAGGUAAGUGGAAUUCCUGGUGUAGCGGUGGAAUGCGUAGAUAUCAGGAGGAAUACCGGUGGCGAAGGCGACUUACUGGACUUAAACUGACGCUCAGGCACGAAAGCGUGGGGAGCAAACAGGAUUAGAUACCCUGGUAGUCCACGCCGUAAACGAUGAGUGCUAGGUGUUGGGGG
RNAcentral lists this ribosomal RNA (776 nucleotides) under uncultured bacterium. Its description in RNAcentral is "bacterial SSU rRNA". It matches the Rfam family "Bacterial small subunit ribosomal RNA", at positions 54 to 829 of the family's 1533-position model. The record is from RNAcentral.